RNAcentral lists this unclassified non-coding RNA (289 nucleotides) under uncultured fungus. RNAcentral describes it as "partial contains small subunit ribosomal RNA, internal transcribed spacer 1, and 5.8S ribosomal RNA". The stretch from base 1 to 73 matches the Rfam family "Eukaryotic small subunit ribosomal RNA", at positions 1759 to 1831 of the family's 1831-position model. Lineage: Eukaryota; Fungi. The record is from RNAcentral.
ACAAACUUGGUCAUUUAGAGGAAGUAAAAGUCGUAACAAGGUCUCCGUAGGUGAACCUGCGGAGGGAUCAUUACAGAGUGUAAAAACUCCCUAAACCCACUGUGAACUUAUUCUUUUCUUCCUUUCGCAGGCGGUUCCUGGGAGGGACCUGUGGCUGGCUCGCGCCGGUGCCUGCGAGGGGGAUUUCAAACUCUUUGCUGUUCAAAUACAGUUGUCUGAGCUUUUAUAAAUAAGAAUCAAAACUUUCAACAACGGAUCUCUUGGUUCUGGCAUCGAUGAAGAACGCAGC